Long non-coding RNA from Octopus bimaculoides (California two-spot octopus), 789 nucleotides. RefSeq lists it as uncharacterized. NCBI's taxonomy places the organism in Eukaryota, Metazoa, Mollusca, Cephalopoda, Octopoda, Octopodidae. The record is from RefSeq and is a predicted model, not a curated record.
AAAGGAUUUGAUGGUCAUGUUUGGAAUACGUUUAACCGUAAAUGUGCUCAAUCAGAGUUGACCUACCUAGAGCUAUACAGCAACAACAAUUGAAAGAUCAUUGUAUAUGUUCAAAUAUACGUGAGUGUCAGAAAAGAGGUGGCAGUGAGUGGCUGUGUGAUGUUGGUUUGCUUUGGCAAUUGGACACCCGUCAAAAAGUGAUGAGGAAACGAAGUCGCAGGGGAUGACACCUGUGUUAUACCUCCAGGCUGAAUUAUCUUGUAUCUAAAAUUAUAUUUCGGAAAAAAGCAAAAACAAUACGGGAGUAAUUUGAGGACACUUUAGGCUGCUGUUUCUACCGAUCGCGUUUGCAAUGACAGCAAGACACACGAGUGACACCUUUGAUAGCAGACAACAUUUCUGGAAAGCUUAUCCACGCAUGCGCAGGGACUAGUUCCGGAAGGAACACAGGAAGAGUCUCAUGCGCAUGCGUGGUCAUUCGAAAUCCAAGCUUCGCGCCCUUAUUCAUUCUCUUUCUCGCUGGCUGGCGAAGAGCCAAGACGUUGUAGCAGUCUCUCUCCAACAUUCCAACUCUGGAGCUAGACAAAUAACCACUCAACAUCAUUGACGGCAUCUCAGCAACCAAAGGGCGAAGUGCUGCCUAUUUCCUCUGUAAAUAAAUAUUGUUGUGUUGAUAGUUCAGAAUCUGCAUUCCGUUGUUUCUUCUAGAAAUUUAAUGUACGGAAGCGGUACACCUAAUGGUGUAUAACCACUUUCCUACAAUUGGUGACCCCAACUCAAGAACAAACG